Molecule: long non-coding RNA, 610 nt
Filed under: Setaria viridis
Lineage: Eukaryota; Viridiplantae; Streptophyta; Magnoliopsida; Poales; Poaceae
Description: long non-coding RNA (SVIR_LNC001132)
Source: RNAcentral
ACGGGAUCACGGCGAAAAGGGGGCCUCGUGCGCACGUAGGUGGACGGGUCGGUGAGUGGAGUGGAUUCUGGGAUCACUGGGCCACUGGGGGUACGUGAAAGGACGGAUGAGAAGCGAUUCCACGUCUCCCGACAAAGCUAGCGGAGGAGAAAAUGAGAUGGACAGCGGGACCAGAUGGGGAUGAGCAUCUCUGUGUCACUGUCAUCUGGGCCGGCCGGCAAGAGAUCAUGCCAUGCCAAUAUGCUUGGUGCAGGGGGAAGAAUAUAGGAAGGUCGAAGUGAAGUGAUGCCAAAGAAACAUGACUGUAUGUGAAGAGAAAAGGGCACAGAUUUGACGAAAAGAUCAUCAAUCUGACUUACUCAUCCGUCAGCAGUAGAAAUAAUAGAAACACGAUCCCAGAAAUAAUCAGAUGAAUGAAACAAGAGGCCUACCCCAUGUCAGCAGUAGAAAUAAUAGAAACAUGAUGACAGGUCAAAAUAAACCUGCGUGUGUUAGGCCUCGCCUUCAAUGGAACGGUGACCUAAACUGUGUCAAAUGUAUGGAAAGAACACAAAUCCAAGAAUCUUGCAAAAUACAGUACCAUAGAACAACAAAGAGCAAAAUAAGACAC